Molecule: ribosomal RNA, 852 nt
Filed under: Klebsiella aerogenes
Lineage: Bacteria; Pseudomonadati; Pseudomonadota; Gammaproteobacteria; Enterobacterales; Enterobacteriaceae
Also listed under: 1 other name
Description: bacterial LSU rRNA
Rfam family: Bacterial large subunit ribosomal RNA
Source: RNAcentral
GGGUUGUGAGGUUAAGCGACUAAGCGUACACGGUGGAUGCCCUGGCAGUCAGAGGCGAUGAAGGACGUGCUAAUCUGCGAAAAGCGUCGGUAAGGUGAUAUGAACCGUUACAGCCGGCGAUGUCCGAAUGGGGAAACCCAGUGCAAUUCGUUGCACUAUCGUUAACUGAAUACAUAGGUUAACGAGGCGAACCGGGGGAACUGAAACAUCUAAGUACCCCGAGGAAAAGAAAUCAACCGAGAUUCCCCCAGUAGCGGCGAGCGAACGGGGAGCAGCCCAGAGUCUGAAUCAGCUUGUGUGUUAGUGGAACGGUCUGGAAAGUCCGACGGUACAGGGUGAUAGUCCCGUACACCAAAAUGCACAGGUUGUGAACUCGAAGAGUAGGGCGGGACACGUGGUAUCCUGUCUGAAUAUGGGGGGACCAUCCUCCAAGGCUAAAUACUCCUGACUGACCGAUAGUGAACCAGUACCGUGAGGGAAAGGCGAAAAGAACCCCGGCGAGGGGAGUGAAAAAGAACCUGAAACCGUGUACGUACAAGCAGUGGGAGCACCUUCGGGUGUGACUGCGUACCUUUUGUAUAAUGGGUCAGCGACUUAUAUUCUGUAGCAAGGUUAACCGUAUAGGGGAGCCGCAGGGAAACCGAGUCUUAACUGGGCGUUAAGUUGCAGGGUAUAGACCCGAAACCCGGUGAUCUAGCCAUGGGCAGGUUGAAGGUUGGGUAACACUAACUGGAGGACCGAACCGACUAAUGUUGAAAAAUUAGCGGAUGACUUGUGGCUGGGGGUGAAAGGCCAAUCAAACCGGGAGAUAGCUGGUUCUCCCCGAAAGCUAUUUAGGUAGCGCCUCGUGAA